AUCUCGUUCAUGAACUCAACACAAGAGUUAUUUCCUUACUUAGCGAGUGGAUAUCACCAGUAAUUAUUACUGAGGAAGAUUACAUUUGUGAACCAUGUAAAGAACUCCUCAUGAGAA
Melitaea cinxia (Glanville fritillary) is the source of this 117-nucleotide long non-coding RNA. RefSeq lists it as uncharacterized. Lineage: Eukaryota; Metazoa; Arthropoda; Insecta; Lepidoptera; Nymphalidae. The record is from RefSeq and is a predicted model, not a curated record. The transcript is spliced from 2 exons.